GACGAACGCUGGCGGCGUGCUUAACACAUGCAAGUCGAACGGUGAAGCGCCUUCCUUUUUGGUGGGUGUGGAUGAGUGGCGAACGGGUGAGUAACACGUGAGUAACCUGCCCCCUUCUUCUGGAUAACCGCAUGAAAGUGUGGCUAAUACGGGAUAUUCUGGGUCUGUCGCAUGAUGGGUCUGGGAAAGAUAUUGUUUCGGUGGGGGAUGGGCUCGCGGCCUAUCAGCUUGUUGGUGGGGUGAUGGCCUACCAAGGCGGUGACGGGUAGCCGGCCUGAGAGGGUGGACGGCAACACGGGGACUGAGACACGGCCCAGACUCCUACGGGAGGCAGCAGUGGGGAAUAUUGCACAAUGGGCGCAAGCCUGAUGCAGCGACGCCGCGUGAGGGAUGGAGGCCUUCGGGUUGUGAACCUCUUUCGCCAGUGAAGCAGGCCUGCCUCGUUUGUGGGUGGGUUGACGGUAGCUGGAUAAGAAGCGCCGGCUAACUACGUG
RNAcentral lists this ribosomal RNA (494 nucleotides) under uncultured bacterium. RNAcentral describes it as "partial 16S ribosomal RNA". It matches the Rfam family "Bacterial small subunit ribosomal RNA", at positions 28 to 507 of the family's 1533-position model. The record is from RNAcentral.